Molecule: ribosomal RNA, 501 nt
Filed under: uncultured bacterium
Lineage: Bacteria
Description: bacterial SSU rRNA
Rfam family: Bacterial small subunit ribosomal RNA
Source: RNAcentral
GAUGAACGCUAGCUACAGGCUUAACACAUGCAAGUCGAGGGGAAACGAUAUUGGAAGCUUGCUUCUGAUAGGCGUCGACCGGCGCACGGGUGAGUAACGCGUAUCCAACCUGCCCAUCACUUGGGGAUAACCUUGUGAAAGUAAGACUAAUACCCAAUGACGUCUCUAGAAGACAUCUGAAAGAGAUUAAAGAUUUAUCGGUGAUGGAUGGGGAUGCGUCUGAUUAGCUUGUUGGCGGGGUAACGGCCCACCAAGGCGACGAUCAGUAGGGGUUCUGAGAGGAAGGUCCCCCACAUUGGAACUGAGACACGGUCCAAACUCCUACGGGAGGCAGCAGUGAGGAAUAUUGGUCAAUGGACGAGAGUCUGAACCAGCCAAGUAGCGUGCAGGAUGACGGCCCUAUGGGUUGUAAACUGCUUUUANAAGGGAAUAAAGUGGGAGUCGUGACUCUUUUUGCAUGUACCUUAUGAAUAAGGACCGGCUAAUUCCGUGCCAGCAGCC